Molecule: ribosomal RNA, 539 nt
Filed under: uncultured bacterium
Lineage: Bacteria
Description: bacterial SSU rRNA
Rfam family: Bacterial small subunit ribosomal RNA
Source: RNAcentral
GCGGACGGGUGAGUAAAGCGCAGACAACCUAUCGGACGGCGGGGGAUAACUCCGGGAAACCGGAGCUAAUACCGCAUGAGGCCGGAGGCCCGCAUGGGCUUUCGGUGAAAGUCUUCGGACGCCGGCCGGGGGGUUUGCGUGUCAUUAGCUGGUUGGUGGGGUAACGGCUCACCAAGGCGAUGAUGGCUAGCUGGUCUGAGAGGAUGAUCAGCCACACGGGGACUGAGACACGGCCCCGACUCCUACGGGAGGCAGCAGUGAGGAAUCUUGCGCAAUGGGGGCAACCCUGACGCAGCCACGCCGCGUGGAGGAAGACGGCCCUACGGGUUGUAAACUCCUUUUCUGGCCGAAGAACCCAGGUCCUGCGGGACCUGCUGACGGUAGGUCAGGAAUAAGCACCGGCUAACUCCGUGCCAGCAGCCGCGGUAAUACGGAGGGUGCAAGCGUUGUCCGGAAUCAUUGGGUGUAAAGGGUACGCAGGCGGGCGUCUGCGUCCGGGGUGAAAUCCUGCCGCUUAACGGUAGAAGGGCCUCGGAUAC